AGAGUUUGAUCAUGGCUCAGAGUGAACGCUGGCGGCGUGCCUAACACAUGCAAGUCGAACGAGAACGGAUUACAGCUUGCUGUAAUUGUCAGCUAAGUGGCGCACGGGUGAGUAAUAUAUAGUUAAUCUGCCCCAAAGAAGAGAAUAAUUGUUGGAAACGACUUGUAAUGCUCUAUAUGCCUUUAUCACAUAAGUGAGCAAGGGAAAUAUUUAUAGCUUUGGGAUGAGACUGUACGGUAUCAGCUAGUUGGUGAGGUAAUGGCUCACCAAGGCAAUGACAUCUAACUGGUUUGAGAGGAGGAUCAGUCACACUGGAACUGAGACACGGUCCAGACUCCUACGGGAGGCAGCAGUGGGGAAUAUUGCACAAUGGAGGGAACUCUGAUGCAGCAACGCCGCGUGGAGGAUGACACAUUUCGGUGCGUAAACUCCUUUUAUAUGAGAAGAUAAUGACGGUAUCAUAUGAAUAAGCACCGGCUAACUCCGUGCCAGCAGCCGCGGUAAUACGGGGGGUGCAAGCGUUACUCGGAAUCACUGGGCGUAAAGAGCAUGUAGGCUGUAGAUUAAGUUGGAAGUGAAAUCCUAUGGCUCAACCAUAGAACUGCUUCCAAAACUGAUUUGCUAGAGUAUGGGAGAGGUAGAUGGAAUUUCUGGUGUAGGGGUAAAAUCCGUAGAGAUC
RNAcentral lists this ribosomal RNA (679 nucleotides) under uncultured bacterium. RNAcentral describes it as "bacterial SSU rRNA". It matches the Rfam family "Bacterial small subunit ribosomal RNA", at positions 8 to 698 of the family's 1533-position model. The record is from RNAcentral.